This 253-nucleotide ribosomal RNA is filed under the name uncultured bacterium. RNAcentral describes it as "partial 16S ribosomal RNA". It matches the Rfam family "Bacterial small subunit ribosomal RNA", at positions 524 to 776 of the family's 1533-position model. The record is from RNAcentral.
UACGGGGGGGGCAAGCGUUGUUCGGAAUUACUGGGCGUAAAGGGCUCGUAGGCGGCCAACUAAGUCAGACGUGAAAUCCCUCGGCUUAACCGGGGAACUGCGUCUGAUACUGGAUGGCUUGAAUUCGGGAGAGGGAUGCGGAAUUCCAGGUGUAGCGGUGAAAUGCGUAGAUAUCUGGAGGAACACCGGUGGCGAAGGCGGCAUCCUGGACCGGCAUUGACGCUGAGGCGCGAAAGCCAGGGGAGCAAACGGG